UACGGGGGGUGCGAGCGUUGUCCGGAAUCACUGGGCGUAAAGGGCGCGUAGGUGGUUUGAUAAGGGUGUGGUGAAAGCCCGGGGCUCAACCCCGGGUCUGCCGUGCCGACUGUCAAACUCGAGGGCUGUAGAGGCAGACGGAAUUCCGGGUGUAGCGGUGGAAUGCGUAGAGAUCCGGAGGAAGACCGGUGGCGAAGGCGGUCCCCUGGGCCUGUACUGACGCUCAUGCACGAAAGCGUGGGGAGCAAACAGG
Molecule: ribosomal RNA, 253 nt
Filed under: uncultured bacterium
Lineage: Bacteria
Description: partial 16S ribosomal RNA
Rfam family: Bacterial small subunit ribosomal RNA
Source: RNAcentral